CUCAGUGAUAAGGCCCUGGUUUAACCCCCUGUAGAGAGAAAAGUCAGGCGUGAUCACGCACGCCUAUCAUCCUAGCUAAAUGGAAGACUAAGGCAGGAGAAUCACAAGUUGGGGGGCCUGGGGAAUUUAGUGGGAGCCUGUCUCAAAUAAAAUUGGAAACACAACAGAGGAUGCUUUUUCCGCUUCAUUUCUGGAAGCCCCGCCUAUUCCGAGCAAGACGUCACUCAGGGAGCCUCCGUCUCCACGGCGACGGAAUGCAGCCUCGGAAAUCCCUGCGCAAGCGCAGAAAGAUUCCACUGGGGGGGAGGGGCGCGCCAGACCCGCCCCCUUACGCACAUUCAUCUACUGGGACUUCCCCACGGCCCCUUUCUGUGCCCGGUGUCCGCUCGCCCAGUUGACCGUCAGGCGCGAGUCUCUCUCUUUCUGAGGACCGUCCUCUCCUCACUAUGUGGCCUUCUUUGCCAGGAGGCGAUCGCGCAGACACAGAAGGCCCCAGGCCCGGCCGGCCCAGGCCCACCCGUUCGAUCGCAACCGUACACUCGAGUCUGCGCCGGGAAUGUCACACGCGCGGGGUCUCCUGGGAGCUCCCGCCCCGCCCCCUUGCGCGGUGCUGCCUGCGUUAUGCGCAGGCGCUCCUGGGAGCUCCCGCCCCGCCCACUGGCCCAGGUCCGCGAACUACGGCUCCCUGUAGGCAGUGCAGCGGCCUGGACCAGAGCCGGGGUCGCGACGGGCGGCCGGGUGGGCUCGGGCGCGGCGGGGCGGCCUGGCCUGGGUCCUGAGCAGCGGGACAGUCGGCUGACGACGAGGUGCAGGCUCAGCGCUGCCUGGUUACCCCGCGGCCCUGGGUCGAGCGCGCCGGAAAACUCUGGGGUUGGAUCGCUUGGUGCCCACGCCGAAGCUCUGCACGGUCGAGGCCAGUCUCUGGGGUCCAGGAGCCAGGGCUGCAGCCCGAGCCUCAAGGCGGGCCGGGACCGUGGACGACCGGACAGGAUGCCCACCUGCAUCUUAGAAGCGGCUGUCCGAUGGGAAGAGCCUGUCACGCCCCGUUUUGGGCCAGUUGACUGCCGCACACGAUGUCAGCUUGGCAGUGUCUUUGGGCACAGCCGAGGUGCUAGGAGUAGGACAGCCUCAUGGCCCGUGCUGUCUGCAUCACGUCACGUUAUUCUGAAUAAAAGCAAUCUGACAACUUCUUGCUAAACAUGAUUUAAUUUCUGUAUUGUUGUAAAGCUUUCUAAUAAAGUAUUCACAAAUAGGGAACAGUGUCUUCCUGCACCGUCCUGGGGCUUCUGUCCUCUUAAGAGACGGAUGGUUCUUGUGGAGAGAGACGCGUGUGGGUGGCAGCAGCCCCAGUGGCCUCUGGUGAUGGUGACAAAUACUAAGUGUGUCAGACUGCCUCUAAAACCAUUUUUCUCCAGACUGGUUUGCUGCCUGCCCGCUUGGUUUGCUGUGUUCUGUGUUGGCAAUGGCUGCUAGCUUUCCACUGGAAAUCUUGGUGGCUGAGCGAAUUUGUGACCCAGGAAGUAACAAGUAAAUGCCUGGGAUGCUGACUGGAGGCUGCUGUGUGCUCUGAGGUGAGUUCUGAUUUCUCUGAAGCACAUUUGCUGACCAAGUCCUCGUACUCUGCUGGCCCCACAGUCUUUGUCGACAUUCGUAGCAAGCUGAGAGCCUCCAAAACCCAGACUAGCUAGCAAGUCCAGCAUUUCUGGCCAAGGAGACAUUGGGAACCCUGCGAGCCGGUUUGCACUUCGACGCUCGCGUGUGUGUUCGCUUCGGCAUUCAGCAUCCUGAAGUGUGAGGUGGCAGCUGUGUGCUUAGGAGAGGGGUGAAGGCCCCUGCUCUGCGGCUCCAGACUGUUCAAGACUGGCACAAUACAGAGUGCUUAGGUCACACAAAGCGAAUCCACAGGACCGUGGCUGGGGGUCAGGUCCACACCACCCUGGAGCUGUCCCAUUGCAGACUGCUAUGAAUGGAGUCACUGUAGUGCAUGUUCUCUUCCACUCACUGCCCUUCAGUGUCCAUUUGUGAGCUUUGCCUCUCUGUAUAUAGUGAGCAGGGUUUGCGCUCCCUUGGGGACUAAAGGGGGCUGAGGCAGGAGUACUGCAAAUUAGUCUGGCUUGGUAAACUUACAGACUUAGUGAGACCUCAUCUCAAAAUAAAAAGGUCUGGGAGCCGGGCGUGGUGGCACACACCUGCAACCUUAGCACUCAGGGGGCUGAGGCAGGAGGAUGGCCAUGAGUUCCAGGCCAGCCUGGGCUACAUGGUGAAUUCAGGUCCAGCCUGGGCUACAUAGCGAGACCCUGUCUCAAUAAAGCAAAAAGAAAG
This is a long non-coding RNA of Heterocephalus glaber (naked mole-rat), 2322 nucleotides long. The record is from Ensembl. Lineage: Eukaryota; Metazoa; Chordata; Mammalia; Rodentia; Bathyergidae.